GACGAACGCUGGCGGCGUGCUUAACACAUGCAAGUCGAACGGAAAGGCCCUGCUUUUGUGGGGUGCUCGAGUGGCGAACGGGUGAGUAACACGUGAGUAACCUGCCCUUGACUUUGGGAUAACUUCAGGAAACUGGGGCUAAUACCGGAUAGGAGCUCCUGCUGCAUGGUGGGGGUUGGAAAGUUUCGGCGGUUGGGGAUGGACUCGCGGCUUAUCAGCUUGUUGGUGGGGUAGUGGCUUACCAAGGCUUUGACGGGUAGCCGGCCUGAGAGGGUGACCGGCCACAUUGGGACUGAGAUACGGCCCAGACUCCGACGGGAGGCAGCAGUGGGGAAUAUUGCACAAUGGGCGGAAGCCUGAUGCAGCAACGCCGCGUGCUGGAUGACGGCCUUCGGGUUGUAGACCGCUUUCGCCUGUGACGAAGCGUGAGUGACGGUAAUGGGUAGAGAAGCACCGGCUAACUACGUG
Molecule: ribosomal RNA, 468 nt
Filed under: uncultured bacterium
Lineage: Bacteria
Description: partial 16S ribosomal RNA
Rfam family: Bacterial small subunit ribosomal RNA
Source: RNAcentral